GCAUAUUUAAGAGGCUUAUUUCAUUACCUAUUUCCCCUGAGUUCUUUUCUCCUCCCAUAUAGACUUGCCUAUCUAUAUAUGGCCUUAAUUUCUAGACUAACAAGUAGUUUUUUAUUCUGCCUCAUUUACCGAAUGAGCAUUCCCUUGUUACCUUGCCCGAGGUCAUGCAUGAGUUCCCAGAAAAUUGAAAGUUAGUCUGCAUUCCCUGGUCACAUCCUACCCAACAAAGCAGUUUCACUGCAGCAUAGAAUCCCCUGGUGCAUAAUUGAGACCUAACUUCAGACUUCUAAACAGGGUAAUGUCAACUCCCUCCUCCAGCUGUUCCAGGCAGUUAUCUUUACCAGCUGUUUACCAUCGUCAACAAUGACAUACUUCUGCAUGUCUGAAAUAUGUGAAACUUCAAAACGGCCCUUUCAUGUUUCUACCCAAGGAAUUUGGAAUGGCUGUUAAGCACCCACAACCUACAAUCAACACAGCUUCUGGCAGCAGUUGGGAAGAGCCAUGAGCAAUGUCACAUCCAGAGGAGAAAGCCAGCAAAAUCAUCCCCUGUACAGUCAUUCUCAAGUACCAUACGCAUUCUACUUUUAUUAACAGAACUAUUUAGAUUAGGCAUGAAAUUAAUUUACUGCUACGCUGGUUUAAGACAUUUAUUUUUAAAAUUAAUUUUGCAAUUGGCUUGAAUCUGUUUUGCUAUAGGAGGCUAGGAUGGCAAACAGACAAUGAAAAAGAAAAACUAUGCAGCCCCAUCAGAGUAAGCGGAUGGCAAGGUGAUUGAUGUUUCUGCCCAAGGAGUGAGCAGAUAGUCAAAAAGCAUGGGCUAAAUCUAUAAUUUUUGUGCUCUGGGGACAAGAGGAAGGAUUGGAGGUGGGAAGUUUCUUAGUUUUAUGCAAUGGAACUGAGAGAGGCAUUUUGCCUGUUCUUUGCAUAUAUUCUACCCUAUUCAAAUUCCAACUGGCAGUGAAGAGUUCUGGCAUUGGCUAACUGAAGAAGCAUCACUUAUUUAUUUGUUUUGUGGCUGUUUGUUUUGCUCUUUUAAUCUCAAUGGCCCAUCAAUUUUUAACUAAGCUCCCUCCAGGGUUUAUGGUUUGGGCAAGCCAGUUAACCACAAUAAGUGGCAUUCCCAAAGAAUUUCUGCGUGCAUUAUUAGCAGAGCACAGUGGCUGCCUUGGACUCCAGGUAAAAAGAUAAAGCAUUUGCUGGGGAUAUUUGUCUCAAUCUAUAGAGAAGGAGGAAUUUCCAAAUGGGUAACCUUUUCCCCCAACCAGAAUCACCCCAAGGAAAUUUGACUUCUCCUAAAAUCCUUUCCCUUUACCAGCUCUCAUACUAGCUCUCCACAUUUUUUCACACCUUAUUGCUCAUAGUCAGAAAGUGCUUCCGAGUCUUGUUUCAAUCCCUUCUGCAUCCUCCUUUCCUAUGUCAUCAAUAAAAAUGGU
This 1433-nucleotide long non-coding RNA is filed under the name Homo sapiens (human). RNAcentral's name for it is "HSALNT0339173". Lineage: Eukaryota; Metazoa; Chordata; Mammalia; Primates; Hominidae. The record is from RNAcentral.